RNAcentral lists this long non-coding RNA (260 nucleotides) under Nicotiana benthamiana. Its description in RNAcentral is "long non-coding RNA (NBEN_LNC040905)". Lineage: Eukaryota; Viridiplantae; Streptophyta; Magnoliopsida; Solanales; Solanaceae. The record is from RNAcentral.
GGGCAGCUGCGAAGCUGAGGACCUAGACAAAAAAGAAGCAGCAGCUUCUUCUUCAAUUGAAAUCGGCUGCCCCACAAGAACAGGCCCUACCCCCCGCAUCGUCUUCUCCAAGUGACCUCUCCUUUCUUCUUUGAACCAGCAGCAACCCAGCAACAACCAGUACUAGCUACAUCGACGACUACCCUCCUACACUUCUCCAAACGGCCAUACACACACAGUCAGACGCCGGAGGUGUCAAGGUUCCGUCCAUUGGUUUUCCG